UGCAGUCGAACGCGUUGGCCCAAUUGAUUGAUGGUGCUUGCACCUGAUUGAUUUUGGUCGCCAACGAGUGGCGGACGGGUGAGUAACACGUAGGUAACCUGCCCAGAAGCGGGGGACAACAUUUGGAAACAGAUGCUAAUACCGCAUAACAACGUUGUUCGCAUGAACAACGCUUAAAAGAUGGCUUCUCGCUAUCACUUCUGGAUGGACCUGCGGUGCAUUAGCUUGUUGGUGGGGUAACGGCCUACCAAGGCGAUGAUGCAUAGCCGAGUUGAGAGACUGAUCGGCCACAAUGGGACUGAGACACGGCCCAUACUCCUACGGGAGGCAGCAGUAGGGAAUCUUCCACAAUGGGCGCAAGCCUGAUGGAGCAACACCGCGUGAGUGAAGAAGGGUUUCGGCUCGUAAAGCUCUGUUGUUAAAGAAGAACACGUAUGAGAGUAACUGUUCAUACGUUGACGGUAUUUAACCAGAAAGUCACGGCUAACUACGUGCCAGCAGCCGCGGUAAUACGUAGGUGGCAAGCGUUAUCCGGAUUUAUUGGGCGUAAAGAGAGUGCAGGCGGUUUUCUAAGUCUGAUGUGAAAGCCUUCGGCUUAACCGGAGAAGUGCAUCGGAAACUGGAUAACUUGAGUGCAGAAGAGGGUAGUGGAACUCCAUGUGUAGCGGUGGAAUGCGUAGAUAUAUGGAAGAACA
Molecule: ribosomal RNA, 695 nt
Filed under: Limosilactobacillus fermentum
Lineage: Bacteria; Bacillati; Bacillota; Bacilli; Lactobacillales; Lactobacillaceae
Description: bacterial SSU rRNA
Rfam family: Bacterial small subunit ribosomal RNA
Source: RNAcentral